RNAcentral lists this ribosomal RNA (1211 nucleotides) under Bacillus subtilis. RNAcentral's name for it is "bacterial SSU rRNA". It matches the Rfam family "Bacterial small subunit ribosomal RNA", at positions 106 to 1301 of the family's 1533-position model. The record is from RNAcentral. Lineage: Bacteria; Bacillati; Bacillota; Bacilli; Caryophanales; Bacillaceae.
GUGAGUAACANGUGGGUAACCUGCCUGCNAAGACUGGGAUAACUCCGGGAAACCGGGGCUAAUACCGGAUGGUUGUUUGAACCGCAUGGUUCAGACAUAAAAGGUGGCUUCGGCUACCACUUACAGAUGGACCCGCGGCGCAUUAGCUAGUUGGUGAGGUAACGGCUCACCAAGGCNACGAUGCGUAGCCGACCUGAGAGGGUGAUCGGCCACACUGGGACUGAGACACGGCCCAGACUCCUACGGGAGGCAGCAGUAGGGAAUCUUCCGCAAUGGACGAAAGUCUGACGGAGCAACGCCGCGUGAGUGAUGAAGGUUUUCGGAUCGUAAAGCUCUGUUGUUAGGGAAGAACAAGUGCCGUUCAAAUAGGGCGGCACCUUGACGGUACCUAACCAGAAAGCCACGGCUAACUACGUGCCAGCAGCCGCGGUAAUACGUAGGUGGCAAGCGUUGUCCGGAAUUAUUGGGCGUAAAGGGCUCGCAGGCGGUUUCUUAAGUCUGAUGUGAAAGCCCCCCGGCUCAACCGGGGAGGGUCAUUGGAAACUGGGGAACUUGAGUGCAGAAGAGGAGAGUGGAAUUCCACGUGUAGCGGUGAAAUGCGUAGAGAUGUGGAGGAACACCAGUGGCGAAGGCGACUCUCUGGUCUGUAACUGACGCUGAGGAGCGAAAGCGUGGGGAGCGAACAGGAUUAGAUACCCUGGUAGUCCACGCCGUAAACGAUGAGUGCUAAGUGUUAGGGGGUUUCCGCCCCUUAGUGCUGCAGCUAACGCAUUAAGCACUCCGCCUGGGGAGUACGGUCGCAAGACUGAAACUCAAAGGAAUUGACGGGGGCCCGCACAAGCGGUGGAGCAUGUGGUUUAAUUCGAAGCAACGCGAAGAACCUUACCAGGUCUUGACAUCCUCUGACAAUCCUAGAGAUAGGACGUCCCCUUCGGGGGCAGAGUGACAGGUGGUGCAUGGUUGUCGUCAGCUCGUGUCGUGAGAUGUUGGGUUAAGUCCCGCAACGAGCGCAACCCUUGAUCUUAGUUGCCAGCAUUCAGUUGGGCACUCUAAGGUGACUGCCGGUGACAAACCGGAGGAAGGUGGGGAUGACGUCAAAUCAUCAUGCCCCUUAUGACCUGGGCUACACACGUGCUACAAUGGACAGAACAAAGGGCAGCGAAACCGCGAGGUUAAGCCAAUCCCACAAAUCUGUUCUCAGUUCGGAUCNC